GCUAAAACAAAACAAAACAAAAAAAAAACAAAACACACAAAAAAAAAAAAGAGUCAAAAAAAAAAAAAAGUAAUAACAUUAUAUAUGAACUGUGUUUCCUACUUGAUUAAAAAUAUAAAGAACUGAGUGUUUAUUUCCCUAAUUAACCGAGAACUUUUGUACACGUUUAAGCUAUUAUUAUUAAAAGUGUUUGCAAAAAUGGUCAAGAUUAUAAUAUUGCUGAAUUAUAUAAAAAAAAAAAGUCCUUUUCAUGUUGAGCUAACAUUUGACUUUAGCACAAAAAAAAAAAAAAGAGAUAUUUUAGAACACGUAAAAUAAUAUUUUUAGUUUUUUCUUCUCAUUUUGUUACCAAAUUUCGAACCUUACAUGGAGGUUACUAUAGUAUAUUUGACACCCUAUAUACCUGUGAUUAGAGAUGUGUAUAUAUAUAUGAGGGCUAGGCAUGCUGUGUGUCUGAGCUUUGUCUAAAUGUUAUGCAGAAGUUUGUAGAGUUAAAAGGUACGUAGGUUUAAUUCAUGCAAGGUAAACAAUAAGUGCUCUCUUUUAUACAAUAUGCAUUGCAUCUGGACCUUAAACAUAUAAAAAUGGUCAGUGAAACUUCUGUGAACAUGAAGAAAAAUUAUUAAAAAAGGCAUUUAAAUGAAAUUUGCUAACUUGUGAUUUUUACGUUUGAACCAAAGUUCUUCAAAUAGUAAAAAAAAAAAAAAAAAAGGAAAGAGGAAAAGAAAAAAAAAAGAGAGAGAGAGAGAAAAAAAAAAAACGAAAAGUAAAGAAUUUCCUCCCAUAAUAUUUUUUUUCUGCACCUGUUUGGUUUACAACUGAGUAGGCGUAUUGUCAUUAUUGUGUAUAUGAGAUGUACUUGUAUUGUUCAUAAUAUAUUUUUUUUAUUCUGUGUACUUAAAGUACUUAACCUGACAUGCAGCGGUUUCCAGUGCACCUGUUUUUGGACAGCAGGUAGCGAGUCUUUCCGUGUCGCCACUGGCACUAGCACUAUCUCCUGAACUCGUGAGAGGUCCGGACCGAUGCUUUGAUCCCUGUUAACUUCCGUAGGCCUGUUAGGAACCAGAGCAGCACGAGGGCAGCGUGAUCCCACUGAGCCAUGGGGGUCGGAGUUUGGUUGGACAGUGAAAGCCAAGCCGGUGUGUGUCCGUAACGGAUUAUUUCCAUGUAGCUGUGGUGCUAGUUAUUAUUACUGGCUACAUACCUGGCGAGCCUGGCCGUGCCCUGCCCUCCCCGUCCCAGCUCCCGCCGCGCGCGGGCUCUGCUCAAAGCCUAGGCUAGGGAAACACAGAUUUGUCAGAACACUAAUCUGUCCAGGUGUGUUCUCCAAAUUGAAAUUGUUUGUAAUAAUAAUAAGAAUAAUAAUAGACUUUUACAGGUUGUCUUUGUUGUUUUCGGUUAUGUUGGGUUGUUUUGUUUUUUUUUUUCUUUUAAAAAAAGUUGGUGUGCUUUUAAUUGACUAACUUCUUGCUGCUGUAUAGUAAAAAUAUUAAUAUAUUUUUAUCAUUAAACUGCUGCAUGACUAUCAUCAUUGCGAGUGAAGAGAAAAUGUUAUAAAAAAAAGAUGCCUUAAACAGUGAAAACAAAACUUUAUUUUUUGUUUUUUCUUUUCUUUUCUUUUCUUGGCUGGAAUUCAGUAGAGAGCGUUUCAGAGAAACUAGAAUCUUGUUCCACUCGGAAGUUUUUUGGGAAUGCAAUCAUUUUGCUGAAUGGUCUUGGCUGAGUUAGGGGUCAGGUAGACCUGAGCUGCUCCUGUGUGAGCAGGAGCUGCCAGCACUUCUUUACCGAGGGGCAAGGAUGGAGUUUUGGAAGGGUGGGGAGAAAACAAAAAAAAAGCUUGUUUUAAAGAAUUUGAUUUCCUGCUGUCGUUUUAUUCCCGGUUGAAAUUAUGAUUCCCUUUUUCUUCUUGGGUUUUGUUUUUGGUUUUUUUUUUGGUUUUUUUGAGAUGUACUGUAAGUGUCAAAACAAGCUGUUUCCAUUGUACCAUGCAUUAUUGCCCUUGAAAGAAGUUUGCUGUUAGUGUUCACAGAAAGUUAAACACAAGACGCUGGUAGCGAGGUGUUUCUGUUUCUUUUUAAACAAUCACUGGAAAUGUUUAAAAUUGCUUUAAUGUGCACUUUUCCUAUUUCCCAGUAGCGGAAUAAGCUUUUCAGAGUGCGUAAUGUGACAUUUGAAAUGGUUCUCAAUUGCAUGUAAACGUGUCUGAUAACCUUCUGAAUCGGAGGCUCUGGAUGGGCAGUUCCAGCGAUUAUUGUACUUCAACUGUGAUGUGUCGGGACUGCACUCUCCAUGCUGCUAGACGUAGUUAGGAAUUUAAUUGCUUUGGUUUUGCUACUUGAUUGAUUGUCUCGGUCCUGCUGUUCACUGCCCUCCCCAAAGUUGUCGCGCUGCCGACGGACGCGCUCCGCUCCGGCGCCCGUAGUUCCACGCCGCCGCGGUGCGUUCCCAGCAAUAAGUAGCGGGAGGCGAGGAGAGCACGGCAGAGUGUCCUUCCGUCCCUCCCGGCUCCUGGGAGCAUCGCUAACGAGGCAGGCUGCUCCCGUGGUCUUCCUCGCCCGCGCCGCCCGGAUCCUGCCCAGGAUCCGGCUGACUCGAGAAGCGCACGGGCCGCGCGGUUCCAGUCAAACCAGUACAGCCUGGAACAGCCCGCGGGCAGUUCUGUGAACAGUGGCCGAGAACUUGUGGUCAGUUUUUGUCUCGUUUUGGGUUUCUUCUGCGUGUUUCCUUGGUUUUUUGGUUUGGUUUGGUUUUUUUCUUCUUUUAACGCACGUUCUGUAUGUUCAAGGACUUGAUGAAUGAUGAUAACGAAAGACUAAAAUGACUGUAAAGAUUCGUGGGAUUUUGCUCCUGGUUGUUUUUAGUUUUCUUUUGAUUUAUUUUUCUGCUUUUUUUUGUUUUAAUUUUUGUUUUCCCGGAGGUGCUCGGUACUUUACCAAGGCUCUAAUGUCUCAGUGUUUAAAACAAAUCAGAGCAGAAAACCCUGUUUAAUGUUAGAAGAAGAAAGGUAUAUUUGACCAUAUGUGUUGUUUUAAAAAAAGACAGUAUGCUCAAAUGUGCCAAGAUACCUAAUUCCUGAGAAGUAUGCCUUAUAUUUUCCUUGAUUAUAUGCUUUUAAAUGUCUUGUAGAAUAGGUCCAAGAGCAUGAUAAAAGCUACUUUAUAAUGACUACGUGCAAGAAAACUUGAAAUUCAUUGCAAUACUGACAUUAUUUUAUUUUUAAGUUAAAGGGACACUGUCAAGUAACUUACCAUUGAAAUACAACCACCUUUUAAGUGGUUUUAUGCUAACGGAGAAACGUCCUCCAAAUUCAAAUUCUAUUUUUUUUUUUUGUUAAAAGGAGAAAAAAAAAGUGAAAUUGCUCUAUGUUUGAGAAUUUAAAUAAAAAAAAAAGAAAGAAGGAAAGAAAGAAAGAAAAGAAACAGCACUAGCCGCUGUUGAUUCCUGCCUCUUUUUUGCGGUCCCGCUUACGAUGCUGCGGGGGGGGCAGCCCGCAGCUUCCCGGGAGCCGGGGGGCUUGGCCGGACCCCCGCGGGGUUCCCCCGGCGCCGGGAGCCCCCGGGAUGGGCCGGGCGGGAUCCGCGGGCGAGCAGGAGCCCGGCCGCGGGUGCCGGGAGCGCGCCGAGCUCGCAGCCAGGCGCGCCCGUAGGCGGAGAGCUUUUCGUUUUUUGAAAAUUCAAUUGGGAAGGGAAAAAAAAAAAAAAAAAAAAGGAAAGAAAUACUUGACAGUGUCACUUCGUGCGUAUCCCUCGCAGGGGUUGAAAUGUGCUGGGGGUAGCGCUGCCGGGAGAGCGGUUCCCAACCUGUCCCGGGACUGUGGGAAGCGCAGAGGGGCUGCCCCAGGGGCAGCGGGCGGGCGCGGAGCCCACCCUGCGAGCCAGGCAGAGCUGCUGCCGGGGAUUUAACCCCUGCUCAGAGCCGACCGGUAACUUCUUUUUUUGUUUUGUUUUGUUUCGGGUUUGGUUUUUUUUGGUUUUUGGUUUUGGUUUGGUUUUUGGUUUUUUUUAUUUUUGGGAGCAAUUACUUUGUUGCCUUUAAAAAUAGCACUGUAACCACCUUUUUUUAUGAUUAGCUGUAGUGUAACCUUUGUCCCUUCAAACUAUGCAAGCUAUGAAAUGUAAAUUAGGGAUCAGUUAAAGAUAGUUGAUUAUAUUCAAUCAGUUGACAUUCAUGCACUAACUGGAGUAUAUACAGAUAAAGCUAUUAGAGUGACUUGUAUGCUAACAGCAAGAUAUAACAUACCUACCUAUUCUAAAAAAAUGACUAUUAAUAUUGUAUAACAGGACUGUGGGGGUUGGGAGGGAAUGUUAUCUCUUAUCUUCUUAAAAGGGGAUUUAAGAUUUUUAUAACUGUUUUUUCCAUCAAACUUUAAUAUUUUUGUCAAAUUUUUAGGUAUUUAAUUUGUAAAAUAGAUUUUACUUUGUACUGGCGUACAGAAAAUAGGGGUUGAUUUAAACUUUUUUGAAGCCAAGUGAUCAAGUACAUUUGUAAUAAAAAGUCAAUGGAUCUAUAUCAGUCGUACUCACUGUUUUCAUUUCUUGUACGUUCUAAUGCAGUGGCGCUGUAUGUCUCCCAAGGAAAAAAAAAAUUGGGGAGGGGGGUGGAAGGAGAAGGCAAAAAUGUCAGCAUUGAUGCUGCCAAUUGAUGCAACUUUGCGUGUGCAAGUGGCCCCUGGUCAGUGGAGAUUUGGUAGAUAUGCAUUUUUCCUAAAACACGGUGCCCUUUUUCCAGAAGGGUUUAUGCAAACCUGAUGUUUUUGGCAUGUCUUCACUUCACGCUUCCACCUUGGCGCCCGUAAACUCUAAAGUCGCCCUUUGGGAAGCGCCUUUCCCUGGCACUUCAGAAAAAGCAAAACCAACCAAAGCAAAACUCCGAUUUCUUCUAAAGUGGUGAACUACAGCACAUGAUGUUUUUGCACCCUCACACGCUGUCUCCCUUCCUCCAAGGUCUGCCACUUGCUUUUCUCUAAGUUCAAGAGGUCAACUUUUUUUUGUUUCGUUUUUUUUAAGUAAAAUUGCCAAGUCUUUUGGAUCGAAGACUUCAGCAGAUCCACCGAGCUUGGAUCCAACACCUUGCAGAGCACUGACAUAAUUAUUUUUUGGUUGCUUGUUUGCUUUAAACCCAGCCCUCCCCUUCCCUGUCCCAGGGCAUAUACCAAAUCUGAUUGACUUGUCUGUGGCAGAAGUUGUGGGAGUCAGCAGGGAGAAUGACGACAUUAAUGUACAAGAAUGCUAAAACAGGUUUACAUUUUAGGGACUCUCGUCAAGCAGGAAAACUCAAAAGUAUAACUAGAACCAACCAAUUUCCAGUUUCCUCAGUUUCACUAGUCCUCCAGGUACAAAAUGAGUCUCUCUUAGGUGAGUUGGAAAGAAGGCAGUGAAGUCAAAUUCCUCCACAACUGUGCCAUUUGCUCCUUCAAAAACCUGCUGCUUCCUACUGUAUUGGGUGGCUUUUGGAGAGGUAGGGCUCUGCCUGAAGUGCUGGGAGUUUCUCUUUUAAAAAGACACUGUCAAGAAUUUUUCAUUUUUAGAAACCCAGUUUGCAGCUUUUUUUUUUCUUGCCUUUUUUUUUUCUUUUUUUUUUUCUUUUGCUUUUUGUCAGGCUUACCCAAACUUUCCCUUUAUUGUCUUACUCUCCUCUUUUGUUGGCUGCCUGCUCCUUGUUAACUCAGCUUGUGCAGCUGGAGGGUCACUGUUUCUGGUGGUGUUUGGACUAUCUGGAAGAGAAGCCCAGUAGUUUGAAAUUCUCAAGCUGGGCUUUUUUAUAUCUUUUGCACACUCAUUUCUCUCCCUAAAAGUUUUACUCUUCUUGGCUUUCUCCUGGAAUGUGUGAAGAUAGGUGAAGGGCUCUGAAUUUUUGGUGGCAGAACAGAGAAACGGGCUGCACGCAAAGUGUUGUCACAAUGUUUUGACAAAACCGACGAGGUAAACAAGCGAGUUCCAUUUUUAUUCCUGAUUCCUUCUGCUGUUGCCAUCUCCUGUGCCGCUUGCAACAAUGAAAGAGAGUUUCUGCCCAGAGCUUUUUUUUGUGGUUCCUUUUACUCUGCUCACUUGCACAUGAUUUAGCUCGCUGGCACGGCAAAAUGUGCGUGGGUUGUGAGCGUGGCAAGGAGAUACGUAUAUAGAGUUUAAAGCUAGUUAAGGUUAAUUUAAAUGGACUUCCAAAAUUAUAACCUUUUUUAAAAGCUUGUAUUGCCCAGAGCCUAAUCUUUGGGCCUGAAGUUCAUGGCUUUUAUUUUUUUUUUCUCCGAAGUGGUGUGUGUUGUGUUGGGAUGGCUGAGGGUGAUGGCGCAGGAAGGAUGCGCCUCUCGUGUGGCAGCUCUCCGGAAGCUCCGCAGCUGGAGCGGGGCUGUCUGCUCUGCUCCCAGCAGAGGCUGCCUUCCCGCUCCCAUUCGUGCCAGAUGGUCCUGAGUCCGCUCUGGGAGUUUCUCGUAGCCUGCCUAUUCUUCUCGUUAUCUUUCCAAAGCAUUUCAGUUCCUGAUGGGGCUGUGUGUUAGCAGCACUGCAGUCUGGGAGAAAGGCAGCUCACAUAAGGGCGUGCAACAAUCCCACUUCUUGUGAAUUACAAGUGGGCCACGAGGCUUUACUGGGCUGGUGUUGCUUGUUGUUAGUGCCGAACAGCUGCAGAUACCAGAGAGAAGUAAAGGCCAAAUCAUCCAUUUGCAGGGGUUCACAGUGUUAAUUCUCCAGUGGCAUUCUGGAUAUUUUACUGCAAUUUGGAUGGCAUAGAAGUUGCUGCUGGAGGAGCACAUUGGAAGGGAAAGGAUGAGCGGGUUGGUGUUUGGGCAGGUGUGGUGCUGUCAUUAACGAAGGCAUUUCCUGAGGCGGCAGACUCAGGCUGGGUGAAAAGAGUUUGUCCCAGGGGAGGAGCUCCCAGCAGUCACAGCAAAGGUGUUGUCUGUCUGCAGGGUGGGAAAAGGCUUUCAGAGCUAGGUGGGAGAUUGGAUGUGGCAGAGAUGGAUGGCCGAGGUACACCUGGGCUGCCAUGCAAGUGCUUCAGCAUCAGCACAGGUAUGGGGGAUGGCACUUAGAGAAGCCCAUGGGAGCCUGACGGCAGUGGCUCUUUGUCACAGGCAGCUGAGGGGUGUCAGGCAGCUGGUCCCCGGGGAUUGUGGAGCUGCAGGGGCUGAGCUCCCCGGCUGGGGUAGCUCUGCUAGUCCCAUCGUUGCAGUUUGGUGGCUGAAGCCAGAUGAGCAUUUUGUGUUUCAGAAGAGUCAAAGCAUGUCACUCCCACCUCUAUAAAAGCAGUAACCGGUUGUGUAGUCUGUUUGAGGCAAAAUAUCACUGAAGAGGGAGAGUUGAAGUCAUACAGCAAGAAACGAGGCAUGUUUUCACGGAAAAAUGUCAGCUGGAGAUUAAGUGAAAAAAGAUAAAGAUAGAGGACUUUUGGCCCCACUAUCUGUCUUUUGAAUGUUGACUGAUUAAAACAAGACAGAGUGAAAGGCUGGAUAUCCCAGAACAAUGCUUCACUGUCCCUCUGCAGAUCGAUACUGCUGGCGCUCCUUUACCCAGAGAGGGGAUCUGGUCUUGAGCUUUUUGCUCUGGAAGGCACCAUGGCCAGCUAAGAUGGAGCCUGCUCAGGCUGGCCAUAGAUUUUGCCUGCAUGUGGGUGUUGUCUCAUUUUGGGUGACCAGACAUCACCUGGGCUGUGGCAGUAUCUCUGCAGCUCGAAUUGGCUAUGUGGUUUGGUAGGGAAAUUCUGCUGUCCCUGUGUAAUGUAUCUUGGAGCAGUCUCAGAGUGCAAGACCUGAUACAGUUUGGGUUUAACUAAGACAGGUUCUACCAACCAGUGGGCAUUAGGUUUAUCAGACCAAGCUAGAGCUCACAGGAGAGUGAAAUAUCCAAAACACAGAUAAUGUAGCUGUCAGGUCCUGAGCAGGGACUACUGUGCUGUUGAACUUGGCUCUGGCUGUGCUGAUGACUCUGGCCAUUUCCACACCUGGUCUUGAGGCUUAGGUUCAUGACGUGGUGAACCUCUGCUCCUUUCUGGAUCUGCCAUCAGCUGGGAGGGUGCUUGGUUUGAAUGAGAAUCUGCUGGAUCUCCCCAGCACGAACUCGAUCUUAACUCAGACAGUUCCUUGGCUUUGCUGGUGAUCAGUUGGUUUGCUGUCCGUCCUGACAUCAGCUUUGCAAAAAUACACACCUUAACCCUUUCUGAGUCUUAGGCCGCAUAGCAGACUGAAGUGCAAAGAGGACUGGCUGCAACACUGGCAGUGGGAGUUUCUGCUGAGUCUCCCUGGCUGUGGCAUUGAAGUAUUUUUUUCUUGAAACACUAUCUUGAAAUAUGCAGGAAGCAAAAACCCAGCUUCAUUCUUUCUGUUUGAGAUUGGAGAGGUGAGAGGUGUGGAUUUAUAUCUGCAGCAAGGAAGGAUGUGCCCCUCCUGGCUGGGAAGACCUUGGAGGGAGGUGGCUGUUGUGGGAGCUGAUCCCAGUGCGUGCCGCUGGGACGGCAAGUGCAUGACUUGGAGAGAUUUAGACAGCUUUUUGGGAAAAACCUCCUUGUGUUGAAAUGUCAUCCCAGUCACGAUGUUGAUUUCAGUGGAGAAUUGCUUGUGAAAGUGGCUGGCAAGCUGCAUCUGAAGGCCCGUGACCACGCUGACCCCGGUGGGUUUGGCUGUGUUACUGGACAUGAUGCAGAGACCGUGCAGCAGCCCCGUGGGUGAAUGCCUUGGUGCAAGAGAUCGUGUCCUACCGACACGAGUCAGCGCUUUGGGCUGCGAGGUGUUGCUGUCAUGCUUGCAGGAAGGUCUGGGAGCUGAGCCUGGGCUCUCAGACAUCAUCAUCAUCAUCAUCAUGCUCUGGAUUGAUGCAUGGGCCAGCACUGGCACGGGGUGUUUUGGGGUGGCUGUGGGGGCUCUGCUGCAGGGAUGACCCCCCCAGCAUGGUUUGAGCUCCUCUGUGUCACCAGCUGUGCUGAUGUGGCAGGUGCUGAGAUGAGGCUGGAGGAGGCUCUGUCCGUAUCAUACCUGCCUGGAUAGUUUCUGUUGCUGAGAGCUGAGGGUCAGUAAAUGAGCAGUGGUCGUUUCUUCUGUUACUGGUGAAUGUCUUCAUGUGUGACUCGGACUCAAACUGCCAUCGAGGUUGGGACAUUCGAGGUUUGGGGGGUUUUGUUCUCACUCUGGGUAGAAAGGCAGCUGUCAGAGGGCAGGACAGUGGUUGUGCAUCGGGCAGGACCUGUCUGUUGGGAUGUCUGGGAGCAGCAGUGUCGUUUGAAAGGCAGCCACCUUGGUUUGGGUGUCUCUGUUCCCCGGCUUGGGAUUGCUCUACUGUCUCCCUAGGGAAUGCAUUUUAUUUCUCCGUGCUCCAUCCUGGUUGCACAAUAGUGAGCAUGAUGUAGGCCGCAGUCUCCUGAGGUUUGGAACUUGCCUGGGCUCACCUUUUGCCCAGGCAUCUCAUAUGGGCAGGGGAGCUCAGACCAGCAGCUCCUGGGGAGUGAGUCUGCAUCGGCACAUCAGUGUCAGCCGGUUCAGGCUCCUCAGAACUCACCUGGGGGUCGAGAGGUGAGCGCUGGGAUUUCAGGGACCAGCUCUUCUCUCUGCCUCAGUCCAGCAGAAGCAGGUCCAGCUGGCUCACUUUUGGGCAAGCUGGGAAGGCUUGCCGAUCUGUCAAUACUUCAGGAAAUGCCAGGGCUAGGAAUCAUGGAGAAAGGAUUUUGUGAAAUCUGGUAUUUAAACCUCCCACUCGAGUGAUGCUGAGGAGAGCUGGCAAUGUAGCAUUGGCUUAUCAGGAGCUGUGUGGGCAGGUCAGCUUAAAAAAAAAUGUUGUGUGAGCAGUACCAGAGGUGAAGGAAAGAAGCCGGUGUCUUGUCAGGUACAGAGUUUAAAUGGGGUCAGAAUUUCUUUUUAUUAAAAAGAUUGUUUUAUUUAAAUAAUAAAUGACAGUAGGUUCACCGUUGCCACGGGCUGCUGAAGGGCAACCAGGCAGGUCUGAGCAAAGUAGGGACUAAAGGCUUUGAAUUAUUUUCUGUCAUUAAUAACUCUGAACUAAGCACUGCAAAUUCAUGUAAAAGCCAUCUCUGCUUUCGUGCAUGCGAACAGUUUGGUUUGUGGAUAGGUCUGCUGUGUUCAGAGGCUCAUUCUAUCUUGGAAAAAAAGAGUUGGCUUCUGAGCUUCACCCGUCAAUAAAAGUCUUGGAAAAUGAGUCCUUGCAGGCUUCUGCAAGGCCAUAUGUAACUUAUCUUGUCCAAUGCAAGUCUCUAAUUGGCAGUUUAAAGUCAUUUUAAAAAAAGAAUCUGUUAACAGUCAGUCUAUUUUUAGUUUAAAGAUGGACUUUAUAUGGUCAUAAAGUAAAAUUCCUAGCUUAAUUAUGGGAAUCAAAGUACAUUGGCUUAAUUGCACAAAGAACUGCACACAAGAGUGCAGAGAGGACACGCUUUACGAGUGAUUAUCUGCUGAUAAAAUAUUGUAUGGAGCAACAAGUGGGGGAAUUCCAGGCUCUAGAAAGCAUCCUGAGGCCAGAACUGCUGAGCUGGUGGAGGAGAGAUGGCAUCAAAUCCUCUGCAGAUGGUCAGGGUUCAUUCCCACCACAGCACCUGCUGCCUUGCUUUGUAUUUAUGGAGGCUUGAAACUGGACAGGAUUAAAGGGGUGAUUUAUAACCAAAGCCUUGGUUGAGGAGUUGAUUUGUGUUCUGGAGGUGCCACCAGGAGGUGGAGAAGCAGCUGUGGGAGGUUUGAAUGGCAGAGGAUUUGGUGAUGGGAAAUAACAAGCUCCCAGUGACAGGAGAUCCAUCAGGUCAGAACUAUUUGCCUGUUGAUUGGACACAUAGACCUUGAAAGGUAUCAGAGUGCUUGGGGCAAGCCUGAAGCUGCCAUUCUUGAAGCUGAGAUACCCGAGAAGCUAAAUUUGGGUGUCCAGGAAGGAGAUAGAAUUUAGGAUGUGGCAGCACCUCUUCCUAAAGUCUUGGUGGUGUGGGAAAAGGCUGUGACAGGGAGGUGAAGUGAAUAUGACUCCACAGCGUUUCCACUUCAGCCCAGGCGUCCCCAGACUGGUGGCACGGGAAGUGGGCAGGGUUUGGGGAGGACAGACUGAGUACAGCUGGGGGAAGGCUGAGGCUGUCGGGGCUCGGGAUGUGCAGAGGUUGGGAGCAGAGCUGUGUGCACAGGAGGGACAGCCAGCUUCAGGCUGUGGGCUGGAGUGAGGAAUGGGCACACCUGUACAACAGGGGGGAAACAGGAGACAAAAAUAAUUGUUGUAGACUGCUCAGUGGUGAAAAAAGACCUCGGCACAGCUGGUCUGAUUGAAACAUGGUGGGGGUGAUGAAAUCAAUAAGAUACUGCAUUACCUGCCAUUGCACUCUACUGAGCAGGUAUGUUAGGUCAUAAAGAACACUGCAUCUAAAAGGUUGCUGUAAAAUCUGAGGAAAUUGGAGUCCUGACAACCAAACAGCUGCAUUUAUGUUGGAUAUAAGUUCUGUAUUUUAAUGACAUGGAGGUAUUAGGAAGUUUUCUAUUCCAGACAAGAGGAAAGUUGUGGGUUUCUUGAGCCUUGGGAAAAAAACAGGCUCAUGCAUCUUCAUAAAUCUGUUAGAAAAAGUAAGUUCCAUUAUGACCAUGCUAUCUAGCCAGACUGUUUGGGAAGGAACUGGCUAACAUUUUGGUGCUCAACAGCUUGAUUUACUUAAAGGAUCAUUUCUUGUAACAGCCUGGUCUAGAGUUAGCCUUUGUUUAGGACUAAAACGUAAGAACUGAUUCAAGAUAAAAUUAUUGUUGAGUUGGCAAGUGGCAGUGACCAGCUGGGGGUCACUGAAUUGCAGGUUCAGUAUUCUCAGGGGUGGAAGGUGCUGGACUAAAAGUGAGUCUUGUGUUACAAAAUAUUGCAGGGGAGAAGAUCAGAAAAAUGAAGUCCUUAGAUUUACCAUAGAUAUGUGGGAAGGUUACAGGCAUCCAGAUGAGGCAGAAGUCUGUCAUGAAAGAGCGAAGAACCCUACAACUGUUGUUAAAAAUAGUUAUAAAGGAAGGGACUUCUGGAGUUCAGGAAGAUUCCAUCAAAAGACAGAAGUCCAACUCUUGAGGAGCAGACUGAAAGAACCAUGUGGUAGGGCAGAAAAUGAAGCAGUUUAGGCAGGGCUUUGCAGAGCUGGGGGCCUUGGGGAGCCAAUGGUGUCUGAGGGACAUCAGAGACAGGGCUGGGGAGAAAAUCUGGGUUUCAUUUCCUGCACUGCUUCAUGCCACUGAAGUGACUCCUCCAUGUCAUUCUGGAGCACAGGGCAUGUUUGAGAGCCUGCUGUCCAUCACCUCAUCCUUUUGGGUGAGAUAAGGAGCCUCCCUCUGAAACUCAAGUGAGGCAGAGAUGCUGGAGCAAAGUAGGAAAUUCAAGUAGAGGAGCAACAGGUGUAUCAAGGGGUUUCUAAAAAGCUUGGCUCUGAAACACUAAAGGUACUAGCAAAACCAGGGCUGUCAAAAAACAGCUUAGUAUUCUCCAUGACUAGAUAACAUCCUAAUGUCAGGUUAUUAUUUUUUUUAAUUAAAGUAGUAAUCGAGGCACAGGGAAUUGAAGAGCAGCAACCCUGAACUCCAGUUUGAGAAAGAGAAGCUGAAGUGCUGGAGCUCUUCAGUGUGUGAGGUGGAAAGCAGCACACUUUCUGCAAAGAAAGGGGAUUGGACCAGGUGAUCCCUUCCAACCUGAUCCAUUCUUUGAUUCUGUGAUCAGUCGGGUUUGCUGGGGCACCUGCCAGAAUGUCUGAGCACCUUGACAAACAGCAGGAUAAAAAAUAGGCUUAUAAUGAGAAGAGAAAUAUCAUGGAGCCCUUCCUUGGUUGCAGUUCUAUUGGUCACUUGGGGAGCAAAAGGCAGACUAAAGUCUAGUUAGAGAAUGAUUAAAGACUUCCAAGUCUGCAUCUUCAGCCUUUGAGCAAAUGAGUUCCAUUCAAUGGUUUCAUUAAAACCAGAGUUGCUGGGUAGAGAAGGGUUGAUUUUCAUGGAACUUUUCUGGUGGACACCACUAGGUCCAAGUUGCAAAGUCUGAUCUGAGGGGAGAAACAAGCCCAGAGUACUGGGUAAUAUGGUAUCUAAAUUUCUCCUGUAAAGCAACACCCCCAGUUCCUGCCUUGAACUGGACUUGCAGGUCUGCCAGAUCCCAGAGUGUGCCUGGAUAGCUGAUACUGUGGGUACGUUCUGUUUUCUUUUAUCUUUAUUGAGAAAAAACUCUUGCUUUUGAAAAUGGGCAGAAAGGGAAGGAGUAGGGUCGGAGGUCUGGGCAGCACCUUCCAGCUCUUGUCUAGGUCUGUCCUUGAGGGAGGGUUGUUGGUGUGUGUGCAUGUGCAGACCUGUGUUAUCGCUCUUCCCAAGACACUCAGGAGCACCCACAAGUAACUGGUGUCAGCCAGAGCAACCUUUGGCUGCUCUGGCUUAGUUUUAGGCUUCUUAAAAGUCUAGGAGUCAUGGCAAAUACCCUGACUUCUCCCAUCUUCCCUGUCUCCAGCAGAUCAUGGUACCGAAGAGUGAGUGCUCUGAUAAGUUGUUGGAGUUUGCAAUAGAAGCAGGAUAACUGCAGGCACUGCGAGGCUUUCAGUCAGAGUUUAUGUUUAAAGACAAGGAGCAGAGUGCUUGGGUUAUGCUGGAGAAGUGACCCCAGCCUGGCUAUGGCUGGAAAAUUGAGAAGAGCAUGAUAAGGUCUGGUUCUGUGAGCAUGGGGACAUGUGAGGCAACAGGCAGUGGGAGAAAAAAGCAAUUUUUAAUGCUCCGUCAGUAUGCCAGGCUGUAAGUGAAUUGCUCAUUCAGGAAGAAGAGCUCAGAUUCUGGCAGCAGAGCAAAUGAAGUGAAGGUGUGUAGCCUGCCACAGGAACCCUGCACAUUCCAGAUGUAGGUGCAGGUUUGUGAGGCUGCUGAGCAGGAGCUCCUCUGUACCACAGCUCGUUAGACCCCCACGGUGUCCCUGUGCUGCUCUCCCUGGUAAUCGGGUGGUUGUCACUGGCACAACCUUUGUGCCUACCCCUAGAUAUCCAUUAGAUUGCUCACUUCUAGUUGAAUUAUACCAGCUGACUUUGAAGUACUCAAUAUAAAACCAUCGUGGUAUGCUUGCAUGAUAGUUAUUUGAUGUAAGAAACAAUUUCUUGUGCUCUCUCUUUAGGAAUUUGGGCUUUGAGUUUCACUGAGGUGUGUUGUUCGUACCCAACUGCACAGGAUCAGGCCCAUCUCUGUUUUAAAAUGUAUUUCACAUCAGCGUUUAGAAAUGUUCUAGGAAACAAAUUAGGAGAUUGAGUUGUCUGUCACAGGCUCAGAUGAUCAUAGCGACUUGUGCUCAAGGCUCCAUCCUCGUAGAGACCUGCACGGCUGCUUUGUGUAACUGCUGUCAGAGCUCUGGCGUUCUGGUAAUAGUGUUUUUUAAUAACUGUACUGAGUAUACUCGCCUUUAAAUCCUGUUAGGUACCGAUAAUUAUCACUGGUAUUCUGUACAUUAGCUCUGUACUAGCAUUCACAUUGGACUAGGCUUAAUAGCGUGAGUGGCAAAGAUGACUUGAAAAAGGAAAAUUCAUUUAUACCCUUUUCGUGUGGUUCUACCCCGUGUCGUGGGUGGUUUGUAGAAGUACCAGAAGUGCUACAAUGGUCUUCCCCCUUUUACUUGCUGCAAUUCUCUGCAGAAGAACAUACAGAUUUAAGUCUGUUUUUCCAUCCUUUGGAGACACUGAGAUGUUAUCAUGGUGAGGCCCAUGGAAAUACCCAGACAAGCUGGGCCCUCACGCAGAGAUAAGGCAUCUUUUCCAUUUGGUUUUUUUUAAUUCUGCUGUCCAUUCUCCAAGCUUUUUUUCUUUUUUUUUUUAAUGUAAAAAAGUUAUUCCCUCAUCUGUCAGUGCAACAUCCUCUAGGAUAUUUGUGGUCUUCCAGGAAAGGUAGACAGGACUGGAAUUAACUAAUGCCAAAAAUUGCCCAUGGCAAGGGAGGGAAAUCCUUGUUUUCAAGACAAACCCCAUCCAGACUUUUUUUCAGACACCCCGCAGCACACCACAAGGGUAUAAAUCCCGACUUUUUCUUUUCCAGGUGAUCUUUAAGGCCAAGUAGCAGAGGGCAGGGUUUUGCCCUCCAGCGGGGUUCCGGUGCUGUGUGGCAUCCGCGCUGUCCCGCAGGUCUGAGCCCCCGGCACCCCGGCAUUUAGGGAGCUCCAUGGGGUUGGCUUUCACCAUGUCCUCGAUUUGGAUCCCCAGGGCAGAAAAAUUAGGACUUUCUCAGUUAAAGAAAAAACCGAAAGUGAAGCAAAAUCUCUGGAGAGUUGUGUUUCCCCACAGCAGUGACAGCCCCUCAGCACCCACUUCUGUUCAGCCAGCACCCCCGGGUCAGUCCUGCUGGGUUUUUAGCCAUCUUGACCUCAUGUUUGCAAAUAUUAUUGGUAAUAUAAUGCUCUAUGUACAAAUGUCUGUGUGGCUCAUGUGUAUGUUUCUGUGGUUCAAGUCAGCCACAGACUUCUGGAAUUUCAUUGUACUUUGGUUAAAUGUUGGACUUUUAACUCUUCUACUGUAUGGCUUCUUGAUUUCUCUUGUCCAAUGUGGACCAACUCUAUUUUUGGAAAUAAAUAAGCAUGUAAAUAAAAUGAAUGGGUUUAUGCCACUUACAAGAAAAUGCUUUAUUUAAAAUAUACACUCAGUCUUGUAUAUUUUAUGGUAUCUCAGGGAGCAGCCGAGGCUCAGGCCCCAGCAGCCUUGUGCUGAGAUACCAUAUUAUGUACAAAUUCACUUCCAAGUGCUUUUGGAAGCAGACUUCCCAUGUCCUGAGCCAAGCCCCUGUAGGACCAGCCUUGCGGAGGAGGGAGGGGGGAAGCCAGAAACACGUAGUUUAAGGGGAGUAAAGGAAAGAAACACAACUUUCCUCUCAACACAAGGCUUCUGGUUUGAGGUGUCCGGGUGCCAGAGACAUGGCCGGGUGCAGGGAUGCCAUGGGUCCUGCCUGGGAGCACGUGGAGAUCAGGAGCACGAUGACAUCUCUUUUUUUUUUUUUUUUUUUAAUUUUUUUUUUUAAUUCUCCAUAUAAACCAAUAUUUACCAGUAAUCCUGUGUUUCUGUUUUUGUUUUUUGGCAGACUUUUACCAGUAAAUAUCGGUUUAUUCCUGAAACCAGAAGCCCUAAACAUACCUUUGUUUAUAAGGUCAGUUGGCAUUUUGUCUCUCUCAUUCCCCACUCCCCCCCAGUACAACCCAGCAGGUGGUUGAAAGGUACCGAGUUCUCUUUCUAGUUUUCCUGCUCUGCAUCUCUGGGAACUGGAGCCCGCAGGACCUAGAGCCUUCUGUUGGUAACGUAGAUCUGAGUUUACAAAUUAUUCUUUUACCAUUUUAAAUCCUGCUUUUAAGGACAGAGGUGUUCCCACCUGCCCACCACGGGAACCGGUAGAAACCCCUAAAUUGCUCCUCCUCUCCGAAGCCUGCGGGUAGGUCUCUCACUAGCAUCUUCAGGCUUGGGGCUGAGAAAAUAAUUUAUCCCAAAAUGUACACUAAAAAAACUGCCAUUUCUGGUUUACAGAGAGCAGGACUGGGGGAGGGAAGGGUGGGAAAGGAGUUUGAAACUUACUCUUCCUCCCAUUUUUUUCUAGAAAGCAAAUGUGACAUGGGGAGGAGGGAGAGAAUGUGAACAUGGCCCUUCCUAAACUCAUUGUAAACUCUUCCUCCGAAGCUGGGGAAAAGGGCAAGUGAAAGAUCUGAUCCUUAAAAGGACAUCACUGGGUGUCUGAGACCCCAAAGGCAGCUGGCGAUUUUUAAGGACUCAAAUUGCUUUUGGUUUAUCCCAAGACCAAUUGACUUGGGAGUGUUGAAGCCUCCUUUUUCCCCACAAGUAUGUGCCACCCAAACACUGCAUGUUUUGUUAAUACCCCAGAAGCAGAGAACCUGAUGAGGGAUAGAAAAUGAGUUGACAGCACUGUCCCAGCCAAUUUUCUCCUCCCAAGCAAACAAAAUGCAAAAAAAAUCCCCAAACCAAAACCCAUCCCUGACCCCCCAAAAAACAUAACCUCCUAAAAAAGCAGGUCAAAGAGGAUCUCAAAUGCCCAGUCUGGUUUUGUUGUACAUGGUUGACACGGGUGUUUUUGGCAUAGCUGCAGCCCAACUAUGUCCCUUUAAGGAGCACUGGGGCUCGUUUCCUCCUCACGAAUCCCGAGCCGAGGGUUUUGCUGUUCCUGAGAGCAGAUCGAAGCUCCUGCAGCCUUAGUUGGAGUCCAGAAUGAGGGGAGCCCUUCCAGCUGUGCACUUUGAGCUGAAAACUACCUUUCCUCCCCUUUUGCAGCCUGGGUGGUUCUGAUUGCUGGCAGUUCUGUAAUACAACCUUAAUCUGAGCAGUUGAGGCUGGUCCUACCUUAUCUUCAGACGUCUUGCGGAGGACUCCUGUUACCAGUUUGGUACUCAAAAGCUACACCCCACCAUCAGAAGUCACUUUUUGUCUUUUCCAAAGGCAGUGAUAGCUCACCCUCUCUAGCUCUAAUGGAAAACAUGAUAAUUGCAAUGCAACUUUCUAAUAAAUUGUUCAUAUAUUCAUAAUUCCGUUGCAAUCCCAAAUUGGAGAAGAGAUCUGUUAAAGUGCACUGGUGUACCAAGCCUCAGAACCACUGCUUUCUCCAGCUCAUAGGAUGCUUUUCCAGACUGUGGAUACGUGUAUGUGUACUGCUGUGUUGAUAAGUAAAUGCCAACGAUGGAGUUCGUUGCUUUUAUACAUCCCAAAGAGAAGUUCUCCACCGUUCACUGUCUGUUUUCUGACCGAAAAGGCGUGUGUUUGUGAACAGUGUUCACGCGAGCUCUGCCAUCCCACCCUCACAUCAGCUCACACCAAUGCCAGGAUGGGAGGAGUUGCCUGCGUACCUUCCCCAAAACACCCCGGGCCGCAGUGGCAUCGUCAGGGAGCAGUUCAAACCUGUGUCCUUUGGGCUUUGUGUAAAGCAAAUGCAGAACAAGAAAAAUCGAGAUGUUAAAUCCAUUAGAAAACCAAUUCCUUAUUGUACAGUAGUAUGGAGAUCUCUAGUCAACCUGCCAUUAAUAAUAGAUUCUUAUUUUUUGAAUGAUCUAUUUAAAAGAACAGCAAGCAUUGUAUUUGCUAGUAAAUCUGAAGUGUUUACAUGGAAUUACUAAAUAAAUUAUUUGAUCUAA
This is a long non-coding RNA of Corvus hawaiiensis (hawaiian crow), 18050 nucleotides long. RefSeq lists it as uncharacterized. The record is from RefSeq and is a predicted model, not a curated record. Lineage: Eukaryota; Metazoa; Chordata; Aves; Passeriformes; Corvidae. The transcript is spliced from 2 exons.